AAUAGCCGCAGUAUUUUGACUGUGCAAAGGUAGCAUAAUCAUUAGUUUUUUAAUUAGAAACUUGUAUGAAUGGUUGGAUGAGAAAUAAUCUGUCUCUAUAUAAUUUUACUAGAACUUUAUUUUUAAGUUAAAAAGCUUAAAUUUUUAUUAAAGACGAGAAGACCCUAUAGAGUUUUAUUUGAUUGAAUUUAUUAUUUAUAAAGAAUUUAAAUUUUAUAAUUUUAAUUGAAUUUUGUUGGGGUGACAGGAAAACAAGACAAACUUUUCAUUUUUGGAACAUUAUUUUAUGAUUUGUUGAUCCAAUUUUUUUGAUUAUAAGAUUAAAUUACCUUAGGGAUAACAGCGUAAUUUUUUUUGAGAGUUCUUAUCGAAAAAGGAGAUUGCGACCUCGAUGUUGGAUUAAAAUUUAAGGUUGGCGUAGAAGUUAACUUUUUGAGUCUGUUCGACUUUUAAAAUUUUACAUGAUCUGAGUUUAAACCGGUGUGAGCCAGGUUGGUUUCUAUCUUAAUUAAGUUAAAAUAUUUUAGUACGAAAGGACCAAAUAUUUAUAUAAUAUAUUUUGUUUUGAAUAAAGUUGUUACUUUGGCAGAUUAGUGCAUUAAAUUUAGAAUUUAAUUAUGUAUGUUUAUACAGGUAAUACUUGAUUUUUUAUGAUUUAUCAUUAUUAUUAGUUAGAGGAUUAAUUUUAGUAGUUUCGGUUUUGGUUGGAGUA
This 712-nucleotide ribosomal RNA is filed under the name Oocyclus petra. RNAcentral's name for it is "partial 16S ribosomal RNA". The stretch from base 1 to 544 matches the Rfam family "Archaeal large subunit ribosomal RNA", at positions 2003 to 2987 of the family's 2987-position model. The record is from RNAcentral. Lineage: Eukaryota; Metazoa; Arthropoda; Insecta; Coleoptera; Hydrophilidae.